AUAGCUGUGCUAAGGUAGCGCAAUCAAUUGUCCCUUAAUUGAGGAAUGGUAUGAAUGGCUGUACGUGAGAUAAGCUGUCUCUAUUAUAAUAGCAUGAAAUUUUCCUUUAAGUGAAAAGACUUAGAUUUUUUUAAAAGACGAGAAGACCCUAUCGAACUUAAUAGUUUUUAAAAAUAAUAAUUUAAAAAGAAGUUUUACUGGGGCAGUAAGAAGAAAAAAAUAAUUCUUCCUUAGAAAAAAGAUCCCUUAUUAAGGACAAAAGAAAAAGUUACCGUAGGGAUAACAGCGUUAUCGUUUUUAAGAGAACUAAUCGAAGAAACGGUUUGCGACCUCGAUGUUGGAUUUAAAUUUCUUCCUUGGCGCAGUAGUUUGGAAAGUAGGUCUGUUCGCCCUU
This 394-nucleotide ribosomal RNA is filed under the name Dreissena presbensis. RNAcentral describes it as "partial 16S ribosomal RNA". It matches the Rfam family "Bacterial large subunit ribosomal RNA", at positions 1942 to 2588 of the family's 2925-position model. Lineage: Eukaryota; Metazoa; Mollusca; Bivalvia; Myida; Dreissenidae. The record is from RNAcentral.